Molecule: long non-coding RNA, 293 nt
Organism: Neopelma chrysocephalum (saffron-crested tyrant-manakin)
Lineage: Eukaryota; Metazoa; Chordata; Aves; Passeriformes; Pipridae
Exons: 3
Source: RefSeq, a predicted model, not a curated record
UAGGAGGCUAAACAGUACCCAAGGUGAAAUCAGAGUUGGACCCAGCCAUCAGGCCAAGCUCCCUGACCUGCAGCCCUUCCCUUCCCCGGACGGUGACACGGUGACCCAGCACGAGGAGCUCGUGUGGAUGCCAGGAGUCAACGACUGUGACCUGCUCAUGUACCUGAGGGCAGCCAGGAGCAUGGCAGCCUUUGCAGGGAUGUGUGAUGGAGGAUCCACAGAGGAUGGUUGUGUCGCUGCCUCCCGUGACGACACCACCCUGAACGCCCUCAACACAGUGAGUACAACUCCUG